UAAAAUCAAAUUUCAAUCCAUGUUCGUUUCAUCAAAUCUUUCAUUUCUUUAACUUUAUAAUAAAAUAGAAUACUAGUUUCACUCUUAACUAAGGAGAGUAUAGGUGUGAAACACCUACUUGCCACUGAUGCUCGAUUUGCGCUCCUUUGUUGUUGUACCCCCCCGAUGGUUACUCUUGAAUUCGUAAGUAAAUCACAUUAAUUCAUAUCCAAUUUUCAUUUUGCAAACGGCAAGGCAACAACAACAACAUUUACUCUUCACGUUUCAUUGUUUUAGAUCAUUAUGCACAUCAUCAAUUUCAUUUUCAAAUGUGGUUUACCCCCUUCCGAUGUCAAGAUUCGAUGUUAGAAAAAUUUUAAUAGGAAGGAAACCGAUUUUUUCCCUUAUCACGGAUAACAUUUCCCAUUUUAUCAUUUCUCACUGAAUCUGCUAGCAGGGACAACAGUUCAACCUUCCUUCAUAUAUUUACCUAUAUUCGGAGCUUUAGAGCUCUAAAUUGAGCGAGGUUGGAUUCAUUAGAAAGAUAACAUCUCAAGCUACAAUUUCUAUGAGAGAUGUUUCCUAAAUUGUGUCGUCCUGAGACUCGAAUAUCCUCUAGAACGGGAGUGACGAAUCUGUCCAGGAUUCGUCGGCGAUUCCUAAGUGAGUUUUCUACUAUAACUGGUUCAUGCAUGAAAAUAUAUAACACACCAGAAUUCUUCUUCUUUCCCUCCAUUUGGCUCUUGGCCGAGCUUAGUCUAAAGGGACUAAGGAUUUCCUUUUUCUUUCUAGCUGAUUUUUCUUACCUCAUUAACUCCUUGUCCACAUUCUAUACAUACUAUAAGUGUUCAUCAACUUAAAUUUUAGAAUUCCUUUCCUUCCCCAUUCCAUCCUCACAUGGCCGGCCACUCAAGCUUUUGAGUCAAUGAUUUUUGUUUAACAAUCUUAUGUGUUUUUCAUGUUUAGAACAUCUUCUGUUAGCUUAACUAACCUCAUUCUAACAAUUUCUACAUUUCCCCCAAAUUUUCCUUCAAGAACCUUAAUUUAUAAAAUCUGAAAUUGGUGCAUAAUUCCUACUUAAUUGUUAAUUUAUUUUACACCAUUAAGUCUAGUGUCUUGAAAAAUACCAUCUUCACCUUUAUAUCCAAAUGAAUUAGACAUUUUUAAAUGUUUUUGUUCGAAUAAAUGGAGUCUUAACUUAGUAUGUGUUUAAUAUUAUAAUAGUUUUUGUGGUUGUAAUUUUAAAAAAAAUAGGUAAUUUUUUUUAAAAAAUAGGUAAAAAUAACAUUUUUAGUUGUAAUUUUUUAAAAAAAUGUUUAAUUUAAACUAUACAUGUAAAAUAAAUAAAAAAUAUUAUUUUAGUUUAUAUAAAAGUAAGGUUUGAACAAAACUACAUGUGACCCCAGUGUAAAAAAAAAAAAAAACCUAUAUGACUAACAAAACUAUUCUUUCUAAGUAGUUUGACAAAAAAAACAACUACUGUACUAAACGGUUUCUAUUGCGUAUCCAAUAAUUU
Molecule: long non-coding RNA, 1495 nt
Filed under: Populus trichocarpa (black cottonwood)
Lineage: Eukaryota; Viridiplantae; Streptophyta; Magnoliopsida; Malpighiales; Salicaceae
Description: long non-coding RNA (PTRI_LNC003652)
Source: RNAcentral